AUUGUCUGGUGAUGAUGGCGAAGAGGUCACACCCGUUCCCAUGCCGAACACGGAAGUUAAGCUCUUCAGCGCCGAUGGUAGUCGGGGGUUUCCCCCUGUGAGAGUAGGACAUCGCCAGGCAGA
Molecule: ribosomal RNA, 123 nt
Filed under: Bacillus mojavensis
Lineage: Bacteria; Bacillati; Bacillota; Bacilli; Caryophanales; Bacillaceae
Also listed under: 1 other name
Source: RNAcentral